This 90-nucleotide transfer RNA is filed under the name Erythrobacter sp. RNAcentral's name for it is "tRNA-Ser". It matches the Rfam family "tRNA". Rfam says of the family: Transfer RNA (tRNA) molecules are approximately 80 nucleotides in length. Lineage: Bacteria; Pseudomonadati; Pseudomonadota; Alphaproteobacteria; Sphingomonadales; Erythrobacteraceae. The record is from RNAcentral. RNAcentral also lists the same sequence under 5 other names.
GGACAGGUGGCAGAGCGGUUGAAUGCACCGGUCUUGAAAACCGGCGAGGGUGCAAGCCCUCCGUGGGUUCGAAUCCCACCCUGUCCGCCA